UGAACCCAUGAAAGAAGAAUAAAUGUAUCUGCACUAUUCAGUUUGUGCUUUUUUUAAAAAAAAACAAAAAAACAAACAAACAACAAAAAAACAACGGGAGUAUAAAGAGUCAUUUCGACAUCAUGGACCCAUCCACCGUAAAUAUCUUCCAAAUUAGGAAACGUGCUGUGUUCUGUUUGUGUGUGUGUGCCAGGAGGUGAUCGAUGUGGAGUGAAGGUGUGUGUAAGAGUCUUGUGUGUAUGGAUAGGUGGUAGGCGAGCAUUUGAGAGAGUUUGGGUGGAUGUGUGUAUAGAGAAGAAGUGAGAGAAAAAAAGAGACACGAUUUCUUGACCUUCAACAUUUCUAUUGGACUCCUUUGCAACACAUUUUAAUCAAAUGUAUAUCUGUCAGGAUUCUGGAGCCAAUCUGGGGAACAUUGGGCGCAAGGAGGGAGAGUUCACUCCAGAUGGGAUGUUAGUCCUUUGAUCGUCGUCAUGACCAGUUUGGGGAUUUGAGCCCGUGGGGUCAGGAACAGAUUGCCAGUCCUAUGAACACAGGCGUCUAAGAGAGUUUGACCCAAAAGAACCUCCUCCAACAGAACUGAGUCUUUUUUCAUUGCAUGAAACAAGAGACUUUGUUGAAGUGCCUCCAGAGCAAGAGCCAUCCAAGGAGCAACUCUUUCCACCAGACUACAACAAGGUAAGAGUAUGACCUAUACUGAACCCUAUGAUCAUUGUGAAUCCCGCUCUGUUGUUUCGAGGCCAUGGCUGCCCACUGGUUUUCCAGCUUAAAAUGUGUUUGCUUUGAU
Long non-coding RNA from Ictalurus punctatus (channel catfish), 787 nucleotides. The record is from Ensembl. NCBI's taxonomy places the organism in Eukaryota, Metazoa, Chordata, Actinopteri, Siluriformes, Ictaluridae.